GAGCGUACACGGUGGAUGCCUUGGCAACUAGAGGCGAUGAAAGACGUUGUAGCCUGCGAUAAGCUACGGUGAGGUGGCAAACAACCUUUGACCCGUAGAUUUCUGAAUGGGGAAACCCACUUCUUCGGAAGUAUCCUGCACUGAAUACAUAGGUGACAGGAGGCAAACCUAGGGAACUGAAACAUCUAAGUACCUAGAGGAAAAGAAAUCAAAUGAGAUUCCCUUAGUAGCGGCGAGCGAACGGGGAGCAGCCCUUAAGCUGUAAUGUAGGUAGGAGAAGGCUCUGGAAAGUGCCGCCAUAGUGGGUGAUAGCCCCGUAUCUAAAACCUUAUUUACAGUGAAAUCGAGUAGGUCGGGACACGUGAUAUCU
Molecule: ribosomal RNA, 370 nt
Filed under: uncultured Vexilliferidae
Lineage: Eukaryota; Discosea; Flabellinia; Dactylopodida; Vexilliferidae
Description: partial Bacterial large subunit ribosomal RNA
Rfam family: Bacterial large subunit ribosomal RNA
Source: RNAcentral